Molecule: ribozyme, 72 nt
Filed under: unclassified sequences
Description: pistol ribozyme
Rfam family: Pistol ribozyme
Source: RNAcentral
ACUCGACUAGGCGAGUAUAAACAGGUGUCAAGCCUAGUGCGUUACCCACUCAAAAAGAGUGGGUAGGUCACA